This 4316-nucleotide long non-coding RNA is filed under the name Helianthus annuus (common sunflower). RNAcentral's name for it is "hypothetical non coding rna". Lineage: Eukaryota; Viridiplantae; Streptophyta; Magnoliopsida; Asterales; Asteraceae. The record is from RNAcentral.
GGUAUGUGUGUUCUGGUCGAUGUUUACACAGAGCAAGAAAGGGGUUCCUUCUUUGAACCCUAAACUCACAAUUUGAUCAAAAUCAGAGGGAAAACAAGCUAGGAAUUUGGGGCUUUUACUAAAUCCGCGAUCACCAAGACAAGGGGAUCAUAAGUUUGACGCUUAACAAGCUAGUUGGAGGCUUGGAAAGGAAGCGGGUCAAACGAAUCAAGUAUCAAGAAAAAGCGCGUUUCGGAAUGAAAGGUAAGUAAAACUUACACCUUCUAGAAUAGAAUACUUACUUGUAUAAUGGAUAGCAUUGUGAAUGAUAAAAUGGACAUGGUUUUCGCGGGCAUUUUGUCAAUAAAAUAGUUAUUGAUAGCAAACAGGUCCGUUAUAUGCAAAACUGUUUCGGGGUCUUAAACACUUAGUUUUGACUCCAUAUGUGGUCAGAAGUUGUAUAACAACAAAAAUGAUGAUUGGUAAUAUUUAUAAAUUUUUCGGAAGUUGUUUAACAUGGUUUUCGCGGACGUUUUGUCAACAAAAUAGUUGUUGACCGCAAGCAGGUCCGUAUUUGCAGAAAUUGUUUCGAAGCCUUAAACACUUAGUUUUGACUCAAUAUUUGGUCAGAAGUGGUAUAACAAUAUAAAUGAUGAUUGGUAAUUUUUAUAAGCUUUUCGGAAGUUGUUUAACGCGGUUUUCGCGGACGUUUUGUCAACAAAAUAGUUGUUGAUAGCAAGCAGGUCUGUAUUUGCAGAAAUUGUUUCGAAGCCUUAAACACUUAGUUUUGACUCAAUACUUGGUCAGAAGUUGUAUAAUAAUAUAAAUGAUGAUUGGUAAUAUUACGUAUUGUUAAGUGUUACAAAUACAGGCAAGCGGAAAGUAUGAGGAUGUGACAACCCGUAAUUCUGGGGUUAGUUAACUUAGAUUCCAUAACCUCUGACGCAUAUCUCGGUAUCUAAUUAUUUAAUUUAUUUCGCGAUCCUACAAAUUCAUUUAUUUAAGUGUGCACUCGAAAUCAUUUAUUGGACCUCACAUACCCGACCCACUUAAGUUUAACUUGUGUAUGUGACAAUCGGACCUUAUGGGCUUUAGCAAGUCUAAGCAAGUCUCGUAUAUUCUUUAACUUGUUAGGCCCAUAUAUCUUGUUCGCUAAAAAUGAACCGCCGGCCCAACUCAUUCAUUGUUUGUUUACGGUUUGUUUAGGAAAGGGAACCGGCCCAACAUAACGUAUUGGUUGUUUAGAUUGAGUAAUUAAUCAGCCCAACUCCCCUAUUGUUUAGGCAUACGUAUUGUAAUCUUAAUCUAAUUCUGAUGAGUUUAAAACAAAAACAAACCCUACCCUUCUCUCUCUCAAAAUCACGGACGGCAGAUAACCUUCAUCCCCAUCAAAGUGAUCUCCCACCUUUGAGGCAGCACUUGUAAAUUGGCAAUUGAGUGGUAUGAAUGUUAUUAUUUUACGUGCCUUAUGUUGUGUGUGUAUAUGCUGUUUAAUACAUGAGAUUAUGAAUGAUUGCAACCUGCUUGAACAAGAGUAAUGUUGUGAAAGAUGAUCAUAUGUGCGAUUGAAUACAAUGGAGAUUUCAUGUGUUAUUAAUAAUCGGAUUAUGGCGGUAGGAUUAGUUAAUGCAAUUAAUGUGAUCAUGUGGUAGCCUUGUAUUAUCGAUAACAUAGGGUUAUUUUUACAAGAAAUAGUAGGUGAACACAUCAUAUAGAUAUGGCUUCUUGAACGAUACAUAGAAAUCGGUUGGAAGAAAAAUUGAUAAUGUUGUCGUGCAUAAUGAUUGUAGUGGCUGGGUUAAUUAGAAAAAUAGGAGAAGGGGUGGGGUAGGGCUGCAUGAUUCAUCUAAUGAAGAUGAGUUGAUGGCCACGUGCAUGAAGUCCCAUUAACAUGUGGGUAGUCUGCCAUAAAUUUGAAUGGUCCAAUUAAAACAAAGGAGGUAGUGUUUGGUCCAAUGAUUGUCAAGAUUAGUGGCAUGCAAUUAGUUGGCUUAUACUUUGGGUGAUUUAUUUGUGAGUAAUAUGUGUAUGUACGGUUAAGUUACUUUAAGGAUCAUGUGCAUGGGCUUGACAAAUUAAUGAACUGAUUAAUUUAUGUUGAUUAGUUAGUGGAUAUUUACUAAUUGUUUUGAUGAUUGUGUUUGCACAUGAAAGCUUAUCGAAUGAUCUAGGAUGUACGCAUGAGUGUAUGGAAACUGUUAUAUAUAUGUGGAUAUGUGAAUGAUGUGCAAACCAUUAUGUGUGCGAUGGAUGGUGUGUAGCCAUGAUUAUAAUCAGAUUUGAUAUUGAUAGUAGGAUCUCAUACGUGUCACUUGAUUAUCGAAGAGUAUGUUAGUGGGUUAUGAUAUAGGGUUAUGUGUGUUACUAGUUUGCAUGAGAAUUUAUGGUAUGUGUUUAUUAAUAGCUUAAUAUGGGUGCAACUGAUCAAUGUCAAUGUAUAUAUAUGUGUGGGUUUAAUCUGAUAGGGGGUCAUGAGCAUAUGCAUAAAUAUUAGGGUAUAGAUUUCUGUUGGUUAUUUAUCCAAGAAGGGGCACAAGUCAAAACCCAUUUUCUCAAUUUGAUGGCACUAGUGGUCUAGUAGCCAUAGGGUUCCAUGUGCUAUGCUACAUAUCUAAAUUAAUUAUACCCAUGUAAAUUAUUAAAUGGUGGGUUACAUGAAUAAGCAAAAUUUCGAGGAUCUAGUGUGAGGUCCAGAAACUUAUGAGAUGAUGUCACAAUAACAAUUGACUAAAUUGAGUUGCACUACUACUUGUCACAACUAACAUGAUAGUUUAAAGGUGAACUGAGCUACUUGAUUUGGGCUAUGAUGUAAUGUGAACUUGCAUCAUGAAUGUAAUAAUAAUCUGGAUAUCUCCGAUGACUUAAGUAAUGAUAUAUGCUAAGUUUGCUGUUACUUGAGUUCGGUGUGCAAUAAAUGUGCUUGAUGUGAACAAUGAAUACGUGGAAUUAAUUGUGCGUGAAAGGUGUGGUACAUGUGCGUGUAGAACUGACUGUUGUCGGUAACCUUUUUAGGGCGUGUUUGGUUCGACUAAUAAACAAGAUCUUUAAUCUUACCGAGCAAACCAAAGGUGAGUUCACUGCACUUUUCUCAAGCAUGCGUCCCGGUGGUUUGGGACAACCGGUAAACAUUUGGAAGGGAAACAUUGGGUAAAUAACUUAAUCGGUUUUGGUUAUUGCCUGGAGGGCAAUGGGGGUGAUUAGUUGAUAGCGCUAUUAGGUGGGAAACCUCACACCGGGCCGUAAGGACGGGCGUGAACUAAUUAUCUGGGUAUGGCUAUGGUUGUUAGAGGCACACUCCUCGGAUACAUAUGGGCACUCUCCCUAGGGUAUCUAACGAAGGCAACAUAGCAAUCGGUCGUUAAGGGGUACCCACUCCCCGGAUACAUAUGGGCACAUUCCCUAGGGUAUCUAACAUGAGCAACAUUGUAACGCAACAUUGAAUCGCAUUAACAUACAUCUGGUAACUCAACCCGUUAACAAAACCUUGAACUCACCAGCGUAGUCUGACACACUUGUUUACAUGCUUGUAGGUAAUUACUGAAGGAACUUGGGAACUUGCUGUCUGAUGCUGCUGGAGUGGUUGUGGUCAUGAUAAACAAUUACAUUGAUGUGGUUUCGAUACAUUUACACACUUAUACAUUUAUGCUUCCGCUCAAUACUUUGGUUUUGGUUAAACUUUUCAAACGUUAUAUUUAUUUCAAUUGGGUAUUUCAAUACAUUAUGACUUGUGUUUGAUAUGAUUGGUGGCUCUUUGUUGGAUCGUUGCACCUCCAAUAGGGACAUACCCUAGGUGGUAAUUUGGGGGUGUGACAGAGCAUGUUUUGCCAAAGUUGGCGAAAAGUAAUGCAAUGUAUUAAAAACGAGUCAAUAUUGACCCGUGCCAGGUACGCACAAGGAAUGAUACUCUCGUGAAUGGUACAUGUACCAACCAUAAUAUGGAUUAUGGUCGGAGGAAAUAGGAGUUGAUAAAAUUAUAUUUUGAUAUAAAUACCCAUAACGGGUUAAAUAAUUCGGUUUAAGAACCGGAAAUUUGAAUUCGAAGGAAACAAGAAUUUUGAAUAUCGGAUGAAUGAAUUGGAUGGAAAUAUGUUUAUAACUUGUUGUGAAACUAUCAAAACUAACUUUUACGUUGGUUUUGAUUUUAGGAAUGUCUUAUGGAACUCCGGAUGAGGAUCAAGCAAGAAAGGAGAACCGAACACAUGUCUCGAAGCUUCCGCAACGAUCUUUUUUUGUUCUAGUUUAUAAAGUGGAUAUUGUAAACUCUUGAAAUUAUAUUUUGGAAUGUUUUAAAUUAUGCAAGAAGUUUAACUUGGAAAAGUUUUUGUAAUCUUGAAUUU